Molecule: ribosomal RNA, 3056 nt
Filed under: Triticum aestivum (bread wheat)
Lineage: Eukaryota; Viridiplantae; Streptophyta; Magnoliopsida; Poales; Poaceae
Description: partial small subunit ribosomal RNA
Source: RNAcentral
GUGUUCGAGCCGCGCCGCCGACGAUACAAUAAAGUCUCUCCGCGUGGCGCCACCGCUAAGGGGCGGCCGCUCUACAGCUGGUUGCCGGAGCUGGAGCUGCCCUGCUCCCCUCGUGUGUAGCGGCCUACCUUAACAUGACACAAGGGUCACUUUAGGGUCCUAAGGUACUCACGCGGCCGAGAUCUCUGCCUCUUCCGGCCGCUUCGAGUCCUUCGACCUCUACCCGUCUCUAUGCUCCACACGACACACGAGACUUCGAUGAUCGCCGACCUGUUGCUCCAUUCUAAAAGACAAAGGAGAGUACGAACUAAGCGUCGACUAUUUGAAUCUUGACGAAGAGGGUACUACGCACAUGUAGUUUCACUAUCCACACACACUUCUAGUUAUCCCCAUCAAGUCCAAUCCUAAACACGACGAGACCGAUGCAUAAAAAACUCCACGACUUCUAAUUCGUAUUAUAAUCAACUAACUACAAUCCAUUAGAAAGUAAUAGACGCGAUCCACCUAAUGCUAUGUUCACGUAUACUAACCUCACCGAACAGCUAAAAGACAGAUUGAAGAGCAAGUGACUUCACCCGGCAAUCCCCACGACCAUUUGUUCCUUUUGUACAAGUCUAAUGAGCAAAGUCUAAACACACAACGUUUUUAUACCCAAUGGAGGUCAAUGGAGAUCACCAUUUAAGCCAAUCGAUCGUUCUUUGAUACGUCGUGGAAUACCCUGUCACACCUUACCGACAAAAUAACAUAGUCAACAGACUCCAAAACCAGACUACCACCCACACUAAACAGAACACCGGUGUUCUUGACAAUAAAAAACCUUAAUCGUGCUACGAUAUUUGCACCUCAUUAAAUAUAUACAAGACAAAAAAGCCUCGGCCUACUACAAUAAAACAUCUACCAUAACAACCCUCUGCCUUCUAAAUUAAUAUAUACCAUGACUUUUGACAUAUCAACUAUCGAGUUACGAACGGAACCUAAAUAUCCGCUUUUCUUUUGUUUUUGAGAAAAACGGAAAAAAAUAUAUCAACACAUUAAUUCGCACAACCGGUCUCCUUACAAACAAGUAAAUCUAGAUAUAAACGUAGCGAGCACAGGAGCCUUUUUUUAGAUUAGUAAACCACAACAGACAACGCUCUGUGACGAUAUCCCACUCCGAACCGUUUCGUGGACUGCUUUACAGCUGUCUGCUGGAGCUCGAGCUGCCCUCCCCCCCUUACCCGUCUCUAUGCUCCACACGAGACUUCGAUGAGCGCCGACCUGUUCCUCCAUUCUAAAAAACAAAGGAGAGUACGAACUAAGCGUCGACAAUUCGAAUUUGACGAAGAGGGUACUAACCACAUGUAGGUUCACUAUCCAACACCCUUCUAGUUAUCCCUAUCAAGUACAAGCCUACACACGACCAAACCGAUGUAAAAACCUCAACCUUUCACAACUUCAAAUUCGUCUUGUAAUCAACUAACUACAACCCAUUAGAAAGUAAGAGACGCGAUCCACCUAAUACUAUGUUUUCACCUAUACUAACCUCACCGAACGGCUAAAGACAGAUUGAAGAGCAAGUUACAGAAUGAAAAGACAAAAAAAAAUAGACGGCCGAGGCUCAACACCUACGUCUUGUAUAGCGGAACCGGGCAGGCCACCUCAACGUCCGAAGAGAAGCGUAGCGGCCACCCCUUCGGCACGGUUCCUUGGUCCGUAAACUUUUUUAACGUCUAAACAAGAUGCCCGGUUCUUUUUUAACACACAUCUAAAACGGACGUUCAUAACUAAGAGUACAGUCAAUACACUUACGUAGAACCUGACAAAGUUAAGUACAUACACGACGGUACUGACUUACACAUACAAGAAAAAAAAAAGACAACAAAGGUCGACAAUUACCCGAACUGGCUUACCUAAACGUCAACAGUAAACAAAACUAGUCAUCACACAGUAACAAACAAGGAUCAAAACCCUUAAGACGAAGUAUUCAUUGAGAUGACUGUAAAAAGACUUCUUGUGGCGUACUUCACACAAGUACGGAAAAAAUACUAAUUUACUAUUCGAUUGAAAUCGGUCAAAAGACCACUAAUUAUACAAUUAAAGCCAUCUAUUGAUUCGACACACCUCUUUAUUUAUAGGAGGAAACGGUUGAAGAACAUUUAAUUUAAUCAACAUUUUGAGUACACUGGGUUACAUAAGUACUAUGCGAACGCACUAGUAACUUGGUACAGUACAAUAAACCGUAUCACCCUGAAGCUUAAAACUACUUUGAGUAACAAAGGUACUGAACAACCAACUGACCAGAUAAGGUCAAGUCAUGAGACAAACAGUUCCUCCUAUUUACUUAUUUUAAAACAAGGACUAGUCUUGGUACAACUAUACCUGACACAGGACUUGGGACUACAUCUUCCACAAAUUAGGCUACGUUAAAGGAUAACAACGCUAGGAUAUCAUAACGGAAGACCGGUUAAGUCGUUAAAGGGACCAACUUCGACGAGUUCGAGACAAAGAAACCAACAACAAGGGACAGUCGCUAGGUAAACUGAGUGAUCUCGCAUACAAACAUUAAUAAUAUUUCCUAAACAUGGCAAACACUUGGUAUAGUUUAAUGAUUCAACCCACUACCCAUAAGGUUAAUACCAACGAUCAAGACAUACAUCUUGUACUAGACACAUAAUCAGUUUUGGUCGUGUACGACACACAAUCGAAUUCAAUAAAACAGUUUUACACAGCUAAAAAUUCCGUCAAUAUCAUUAUUACCAAACACAACAGAGUAGUCCCACUCUCACGCUUUUCAUAUAGACCUCUUAAACCUCUCCCUCGGGAUUGACUUUUCCACGAGAGCUUGACAGGUACUCCCAUAAGCAACCGUUCUGCUGGAUUGACGUUCGACCAACCAUUUCUCCCGAACUCACCCAUUAAUUUUUAUACUGAACCGACAGUUACAUUCAGUCAGCUAUAGAGUUAGUAAAAAGCUCAAACUAAGUCAACACAAGACGUGCGAUUAGAGAUACGUUUUAGUUUAUGUACACAUAGGACGUAUACCACUACCAUGUAACUUUAAUCCUCCAAUAAUUCAC